This 507-nucleotide ribosomal RNA is filed under the name uncultured bacterium. RNAcentral describes it as "partial 16S ribosomal RNA". It matches the Rfam family "Bacterial small subunit ribosomal RNA", at positions 28 to 506 of the family's 1533-position model. The record is from RNAcentral.
GACGAACGCUGGCGGCGUGCCUAAUACAUGCAAGUCGAACGCUUCUUUCCUCCCGAGUGCUUGCACUCAAUUGGAAAGAGGAGUGGCGGACGGGUGAGUAACACGUGGGUAACCUACCCAUCAGAGGGGGAUAACACUUGGAAACAGGUGCUAAUACCGCAUAACAGUUUAUGCCGCAUGGCAUAAGAGUGAAAGGCGCUUUCGGGUGUCGCUGAUGGAUGGACCCGCGGUGCAUUAGCUAGUUGGUGAGGUAACGGCUCACCAAGGCCACGAUGCAUAGCCGACCUGAGAGGGUGAUCGGCCACACUGGGACUGAGACACGGCCCAGACUCCUACGGGAGGCAGCAGUAGGGAAUCUUCGGCAAUGGACGAAAGUCUGACCGAGCAACGCCGCGUGAGUGAAGAAGGUUUGCGGAUCGUAAAACUCUGUUGUUAGAGAAGAACAAGGACGUUAGUAACUGAACGUCCCCUGACGGUAUCUAACCAGAAAGCCACGGCUAACUACGU